UACGUAGGGGCAAGCGUUGUCCGGAAUCAUUGGGCGUAAAGCGCGCGUAGGCGGCCCGAUCAGUCCGCUGUAAAAGUCCAGGGCUCAACCCUGGAAAGCCGGUGGAUACUGUCGGGCUAGAGUCCGGAAGAGGCGAGUGGAAUUCCUGGUGUAGCGGUGGAAUGCGCAGAUAUCAGGAGGAACACCGAUAGCGAAGGCAGCUCGCUGGGACGGUACUGACGCUGAGGUGCGAAAGCGUGGGGAGCGAACAGG
This 252-nucleotide ribosomal RNA is filed under the name uncultured bacterium. Its description in RNAcentral is "partial 16S ribosomal RNA". It matches the Rfam family "Bacterial small subunit ribosomal RNA", at positions 524 to 776 of the family's 1533-position model. The record is from RNAcentral.